CGUCCGGUUGACGCAUAUAGCUAUAGUAGCGGUUGUUGCAUAUAUACUUCUAGUUCUUUCUUUACGGUUGUCUUGCUACUAUAGUUUUGAUAUCCUUGUAUGCUUGCAGUUGUACAUUACAGUAGCGGUAGUUGUGCUUUCAUAUAUAUAUCUCAUUCGUUCAUUAUCGUUGCUACUGUAUUUUACUUACCCAUACUGUCGUUUAUCUCUUCCUGAUCCGGUGAGUACUCCUCGCCUUCUUCGGCUUGCGGUACCCACUGGGAGGGGAGACAUGUUUAUAUGUUCUCACCUCCCCCACCAUUUUUCAGGUAUUGCAGGCGUUGAGUUUUGGGACGAGACGUGAGGUACGUUCGUAGCGGUCGAUAGAGCUUCCGACCCAGGUUAUCGGUUUAGUUUUAUCCCUAGUAUUCUGUGUUAUAGCUUAGUCAGUUUAUAUGGUUCUGUAUUUUUAUUACAUUGGAAUAUGUGGACUUUCAUGAAUGUAAUAAAAGGAUUUCUGGAUUUGGUAAAAUAAAAGGUUUUCUACCCCUCGUGGUAGCUUGUAUAAAAGAUAAAAGUUCUCGCGUAUGGAACAGUUUUCAAAAGGUUUUUCGUGGACUUUUGUUUAAACAUCGAAUGUAAAACUACGGUGUGAAUGGUGAAUGUAUGAAUGUAUAGCUAUCUGUAUAUUCAUUUAGUUGUGGUUGUAUACCGUUUGUACUUUUGUACUUGUGCAACGCCGUGCAAAUACAGGGGAGACUCUGUCCGUGUGAACAGUGGAUU
This 762-nucleotide long non-coding RNA is filed under the name Ananas comosus (pineapple). RNAcentral describes it as "long non-coding RNA (ACOM_LNC041940)". Lineage: Eukaryota; Viridiplantae; Streptophyta; Magnoliopsida; Poales; Bromeliaceae. The record is from RNAcentral.